CCCUUAGAUGUUCUGGGAAGCACGCGCGCUACAAUGGUCUUCGCAAACGGAUGCAUUCUCGAAGGAGAAUGCCAAUCUUGGAAUCUAUGCCUUGGUCGGGACAGUUGCUUGCAAUUUUUCGACUCGAACCAGGAAUUCCUUGUAAUCGUGAUUCAUCACAUCACGAUGAAUACGUCCCUGCCCUUUGUACACACCGCCCGUCGCUCCUACCGAUCGAAGAGUUAGGUGAAUUGUUUUGAUCGAUAAGAUUUGACUAUGGUCAACUCUCGUUGUGAAAUUCUGUGAAUCUGACUGUUUAGAGGAAGGAAAAGUCGUAACA
This 319-nucleotide ribosomal RNA is filed under the name uncultured eukaryote. RNAcentral's name for it is "partial 18S ribosomal RNA". It matches the Rfam family "Eukaryotic small subunit ribosomal RNA", at positions 1470 to 1796 of the family's 1831-position model. The record is from RNAcentral.